This 497-nucleotide ribosomal RNA is filed under the name uncultured bacterium. RNAcentral describes it as "partial 16S ribosomal RNA". It matches the Rfam family "Bacterial small subunit ribosomal RNA", at positions 28 to 507 of the family's 1533-position model. The record is from RNAcentral.
GAUGAACGCUGGCGGCGUGCCUAAUACAUGCAAGUCGAGCGAACGGACGAGAAGCUUGCUUCUCUGAUGUUAGCGGCGGACGGGUGAGUAACACGUGGAUAACCUACCUAUAAGACUGGGAUAACUUCGGGAAACCGGAGCUAAUACCGGAUAAUAUUUUGAACCGCAUGGUUCAAAAGUGAAAGACGGUCUUGCUGUCACUUAUAGAUGGAUCCGCGCUGCAUUAGCUAGUUGGUAAGGUAACGGCUUACCAAGGCAACGAUGCAUAGCCGACCUGGGAGGUGGACCGGCCACACUGGAACGGAGAAACGGUCCAGACUCUUCCGGGAGGCAGCAGUAGGGAAUCUUCCGCAAGGGGGGAAAGCCUGACGGAGCAACGCCGCGGGAGUGAUGAAGGUCUUCGGAUCGUAAACCUCUGUUAUUAGGGAAGAACAUAUGUGUAAGUAACUGUGCACAUCGUGACGGUACCUAAUCAGAAAGCCACGGCUAACUACGUG